UACAAGGAGAUAUGAACGUUUUAAGGUCGAAAGGUCAGUGGGCUAGGCCCAACUCGGGACCAACCGAGUUGGCCCAAAAAAAUGAAAAAAAAAUUCAGGCCCAAGUGAGGAGCCAUUCGGCCAUGGUCCAUAAAAAGGAUCCAAGCCCAUGGAAUUAAGUCAUGUGGUCAAUGAAUAAAAGACCACUUAAUCAUCCAAAUUCCAUAGAACUUUCAAGAGAAAGAAUAGGAGGAAAAACAAGAGAAAAACAAGAACAAAAAGAGGGCAUUUCGGGUUUGGCCAUAGAAAAAUCACCCCUCAAAAUCUUGCCUCUAAAAUUAUUUUCUUGUUGAAUUCCUACUAAAUUAAGUGUCCUCUACAACUUGGUGUAAUUGUUUUGGAAGAAGGAGCACUUAUUUCUUCAAGUUGACAACUUGUUCAAGUGAAGAAGUUUGUAGAAAAAGUUUUUCGACGAAACGGGAAGUGAGUUUGGAAAGGCUUAAGGAGCGCGAAAGGUACGGACGACAGGUUUGCUGAUGCGCACGUUUAGGAUCCCACUUCUGCUAUUUUGGGGCGCUCUCUUCUACAGAGCCCAUCUUUUGGUACAGUCUGUCACUGCUAUCUGGAUAUGUACUUUGUUCAGGGUAUGACGGGGCCCUGUCCCGUCUUAUGAUUAUGAUAUGUUCUGUAGAGG
Lycium barbarum (goji berry) is the source of this 673-nucleotide long non-coding RNA. RefSeq lists it as uncharacterized. The record is from RefSeq and is a predicted model, not a curated record. The transcript is spliced from 3 exons. NCBI's taxonomy places the organism in Eukaryota, Viridiplantae, Streptophyta, Magnoliopsida, Solanales, Solanaceae.